AUACGUAGGUGGCAAGCGUUGUCCGGAAUUACUGGGCGUAAAGGGCGAGUAGGCGGUUACUUAAGUCAGGUGUGAAAACUGCGGGCUCAACCCGGAGAUUGCACCUGAUACUGGGUGACUUGAGUGCAGGAGAGGGCAGUGGAAUUCCUAGUGUAGCGGUGAAAUGCGUAGAUAUUAGGAGGAACACCAGUGGCGAAGGCGGCUGUCUGGACUGUAACUGACGCUGAGGCGCGAAAGCGUGGGGAGCAAACAGGAUUAGAUACCCUGGUAGUCCACGCCGUAAACGAUGGGUACUAGGUGUAGAGGGUAUCGACCCCUUCUGUGCCGGAGUUAACACAAUAAGUACCCCGCCUGGGGAGUACGGCCGCAAGGUUGAA
This 377-nucleotide ribosomal RNA is filed under the name uncultured bacterium. RNAcentral's name for it is "bacterial SSU rRNA". It matches the Rfam family "Bacterial small subunit ribosomal RNA", at positions 523 to 898 of the family's 1533-position model. The record is from RNAcentral.